RNAcentral lists this ribosomal RNA (484 nucleotides) under uncultured bacterium. RNAcentral describes it as "partial 16S ribosomal RNA". It matches the Rfam family "Bacterial small subunit ribosomal RNA", at positions 30 to 507 of the family's 1533-position model. The record is from RNAcentral.
AUUGAACGCUGGCGGCAGGCCUAACACAUGCAAGUCGAGCGGAUGAAGGGAGCUUGCUCCUGGAUUCAGCGGCGGACGGGUGAGUAAUGCCUAGGAAUCUGCCUGGUAGCGGGGGAUAACGUCCGGAAACGGGCGCUAAUACCGCAUACGUCCUGAGGGAGAAAGUGGGGGGUCUUCGGACCUCACGCUAUCAGAUGAGCCUAGGUCGGAUUAGCUAGUUGGUGGGGUAAAGGCCUACCAAGGCGACGAUCCGUAACUGGUCUGAGAGGAUGAUCAGUCACAGUGGAACUGAGACACGGCACAGACUCUUACGGGAGGCAGCGGUGGGGAAUAUUGGACGAUGGGGGAAAGCCUGAUCCAGCCAUGCAGCGUGUGUGAAGAAGGUCUUCGGAUUGGAAAGCGCUUUAAGUUGGGAGGAAGGGCAGUAAGUUAAUACCUUGCUGUUUUGACGUUACCAACAGAAUAAGCACCGGCUAACUUCGUG